Molecule: ribosomal RNA, 432 nt
Filed under: uncultured bacterium
Lineage: Bacteria
Description: partial 16S ribosomal RNA
Rfam family: Bacterial small subunit ribosomal RNA
Source: RNAcentral
AGCGAACGCUGGCGGCAGGCCUAACACAUGCAAGUCGAACGAACUCUUCGGAGUUAGUGGCGGACGGGUGAGUAACACGUGGGAACGUGCCUUUUGGUUCGGAAUAACUCAGGGAAACUUGUGCUAUACCGAAUGUGCCCUUCGGGGGAAAGAUUUAUCGCCAUUAGAGCGGCCCGCGUCUGAUUAGCUAGUUGGUGAGGUAACGGCUCACCAAGGCGACGAUCAGUAGCUGGUCUGAGAGGAUGACCAGCCACACUGGGACUGAGACACGGCCCAGACUCCUACGGGAGGCAGCAGUGGGGAAUCUUGCGCAAUGGGCGAAAGCCUGACGCAGCCAUGCCGCGUGAAUGAUGAAGGUCUUAGGAUUGUAAAAUUCUUUCACCGGGGACGAUAAUGACGGUACCCGGAGAAGAAGCCCCGGCUAACUUCGUG